This is a long non-coding RNA of Aethalodelphis obliquidens (Pacific white-sided dolphin), 1562 nucleotides long. RefSeq lists it as uncharacterized. The transcript is spliced from 3 exons. The record is from RefSeq and is a predicted model, not a curated record. NCBI's taxonomy places the organism in Eukaryota, Metazoa, Chordata, Mammalia, Artiodactyla, Delphinidae.
CCGCAGCAGAGGCCGGAAGGUCUGCGUGCCUUCUGGGUAGUGUAGGCAGUAAGGGGAGUGGGCCGCACCAAAUUCGUCAGGAGGGGGACACUAUCAAACUGUAAUUUAAAGUAAUCACGUAAGGUGCUCUAGAGUGCAUACGUUAGGAAGGGGUAUCUGAGCGCUUACUCUCCGGGAAUUUUGGACCCUCGCGCCUUUGCCUGGCUUGCUUUCGCAGCGGCCUGCGCUCGCGCUCCCCCCGGAAGUGCAGGACCGGACUUCCGGUGGGCUCGGGCGUCCGCGCGAGGCGGCGGCGGCGGCGGCUGCUGUGAGGAGGCGGUGGCGGCUCCCACCGUAACGUUCCCUGACGAAGCGCAUCUGCGAGGCGGAGGCGUCCACCAUGUUCUCCUUCAACAUGUUUGACCACCCGAUUCCCCGGGUCUUCCAGAACCGCUUCUCCACGCAGUACCGCUGCUUCUCCGUGUCCAUGCUCGCGGGGCCUAAUGACAGGUCAGAUGUGGAGAAAGGAGGGAAGAUAAUUAUGCCACCCUCAGCCCUCGACCAACUCAGUAAGUACUUUCUACCUGACUUGAGAACAGAGGUGAUGUGAACGUGGGCGCUGGGACCAGGCACAGACCCCUCGCCGCCCAGGCAGAGGCAUCUUUCGGCGAGGCUGGUUGGGAAUUGUCCCUGGAGGGUGCUAGCUGGGCUGGGAGGCCGGGGCCAGUGGGCGCUCGGCUCUGGGUCCACUCCUCUGGCACCCAAACCCCACCCCGGGUCCUAUUAGGACUAAAGGAAGGUGUGAGCACUGGUGCUCUUCACGCUGAUGGGGCAGCCGAUGUCCUUGGCUGCACGCACUAAAUUUUCCCCUAAAGGAUGGUGGCGGCCCCCAAGAGGACGCCGCGUGCAGGUCUUUCAUCUCCCCAAGCCUCUUGCCUCAGCUACAGCCGCAGUUCUAACCCCUCUUCCCCAGGAGCUGCUCCCCUUGCCCCGUCCUGCCUCUUACCAGGAGCAAGAAAGGCCCAGGGUUGGGAGAUUGGCCAUGUUUUUCCCCCUUUCCCCAACUCCCCACUCCCAUGGGAGCAGCUCGGAGACCUCACACCCCUGGCCCCACUCCACCCGGACUAGGAUGCCCCAACCAUGGGCACAGUCAUUGCCUUUUGAGACUUGGGGGUCUUUUUGGUGUGGGUUCUGAGGCAGGAGAUGUGGUGGCUUCUGGGCCGGGAGGGUCCACGCUCUGUGUUGGGUGCACAUUGGGCAGCUCGGUAAGGGCCAGGUGCCAGCUCUGGUGUGGCUCCAGCUUGGGCUCUGCACCUUGCCCAGCCUGACUCCAGGCUAGUGACUGGGCCUUUCUGGACCUUGGUGUCCUCACCUUUAAAUGGGGGCAUGACGCCAUCUGUGGGGACUGCUCUGCGGCAGGAGUGCCUCCUGGAUGGUACCUGUGGUGUGUGUGUAAACAACCAGGGCCCUGUGGCACCAGGCAGGGGCAGGAGGUGGCCCUUAGCCAGCAGGGCCUAACUGACGGCAGCAGUGGUUGCACCCGCAGAGGGAGGCCUUUAGCUCUGCCAGAGGGUGGGUAGAGC